This 460-nucleotide ribosomal RNA is filed under the name uncultured bacterium. Its description in RNAcentral is "partial 16S ribosomal RNA". It matches the Rfam family "Bacterial small subunit ribosomal RNA", at positions 338 to 795 of the family's 1533-position model. The record is from RNAcentral.
CCUACGGGCGGCAGCAGUGAGGAAUAUUGGUCAAUGGACGAGAGUCUGAACCAGCCAAGUAGCGUGAAGGAUGACUGCCCUAUGGGUUGUAAACUUCUUUUAUAUGGGAAUAAAAUGUUCCACGUGUGGGAUUUUGUAUGUACCAUAUGAAUAAGGAUCGGCUAACUCCGUGCCAGCAGCCGCGGUAAUACGGAGGAUCCGAGCGUUAUCCGGAUUUAUUGGGUUUAAAGGGAGCGUAGGUGGAUUGUUAAGUCAGUUGUGAAAGUUUGCGGCUCAACCGUAAAAUUGCAGUUGAAACUGGCAGUCUUGAGGACAGUAGAGGUGGGCGGAAUUCGUGGUGUAGCGGUGAAAUGCUUAGAUAUCACGAAGAACUCCGAUUGCGAAGGCAGUUCACUGGACUGCAACUGACACUGAGGCUCGAAAGUGUGGGUAUCAAACAGGAUUAGAUACCCGGGUAGUC